UUGACCUCAGAUCAGGGCAGCAUUACCC
This 28-nucleotide ribosomal RNA is filed under the name Keratoisis sp. K14359B. Its description in RNAcentral is "partial 28S ribosomal RNA". Lineage: Eukaryota; Metazoa; Cnidaria; Anthozoa; Scleralcyonacea; Keratoisididae. The record is from RNAcentral.